AGAGAUUGAACAUAAGAGUUUGAUCCUGGCUCAGAUUGAACGCUGGCGGCAUGCUUUACACAUGCAAGUCGGACGGCAGCACAGAGAAGCUUGCUUCUUGGGUGGCGAGUGGCGAACGGGUGAGUAACAUAUCGGAACGUACCGAGUAGUGGGGGAUAACUGAUCGAAAGAUCAGCUAAUACCGCAUACGUCUUGAGAGGGAAAGCAGGGGACCUUCGGGCCUUGCGCUAUUCGAGCGGCCGAUAUCUGAUUAGCUAGUUGGUGGGGUAAAGGCCUACCAAGGCGACGAUCAGUAGCGGGUCUGAGAGGAUGAUCCGCCACACUGGGACUGAGACACGGCCCAGACUCCUACGGGAGGCAGCAGUGGGGAAUUUUGGACAAUGGGCGCAAGCCUGAUCCAGCCAUGCCGCGUGUCUGAAGAAGGCCUUCGGGUUGUAAAGGACUUUUGUCAGGGAAGAAAAGGCUGUUGCUAAUAUCAGCGGCUGAUGACGGUACCUGAAGAAUAAGCACCGGCUAACUACGUGCCAGCAGCCGCGGUAAUACGUAGGGUGCGAGCGUUAAUCGGAAUUACUGGGCGUAAAGCGGGCGCAGACGGUUACUUAAGCAGGAUGUGAAAUCCCCGGGCUCAACCCGGGAACUGCGUUCUGAACUGGGUGACUCGAGUGUGUCAGAGGGAGGUAGAAUUCCACGUGUAGCAGUGAAAUGCGUAGAGAUGUGGAGGAAUACCGAUGGCGAAGGCAGCCUCCUGGGACAACACUGACGUUCAUGCCCGAAAGCGUGGGUAGCAAACAGGAUUAGAUACCCUGGUAGUCCACGCCCUAAACGAUGUCAAUUAGCUGUUGGGCAACUUGAUUGCUUAGUAGCGUAGCUAACGCGUGAAAUUGACCGCCUGGGGAGUACGGUCGCAAGAUUAAAACUCAAAGGAAUUGACGGGGACCCGCACAAGCGGUGGAUGAUGUGGAUUAAUUCGAUGCAACGCGAAGAACCUUACCUGGUCUUGACAUGUACGGAAUCCUCCAGAGACGGAGGAGUGCCUUCGGGAGCCGUAACACAGGUGCUGCAUGGCUGUCGUCAGCUCGUGUCGUGAGAUGUUGGGUUAAGUCCCGCAACGAGCGCAACCCUUGUCAUUAGUUGCCAUCAUUCAGUUGGGCACUCUAAUGAGACUGCCGGUGACAAGCCGGAGGAAGGUGGGGAUGACGUCAAGUCCUCAUGGCCCUUAUGACCAGGGCUUCACACGUCAUACAAUGGUCGGUACAGAGGGUAGCCAAGCCGCGAGGCGGAGCCAAUCUCACAAAACCGAUCGUAGUCCGGAUUGCACUCUGCAACUCGAGUGCAUGAAGUCGGAAUCGCUAGUAAUCGCAGGUCAGCAUACUGCGGUGAAUACGUUCCCGGGUCUUGUACACACCGCCCGUCACACCAUGGGAGUGGGGGAUACCAGAAGUAGGUAGGGUAACCGCAAGGAGUCCGCUUACCACGGUAUGCUUCAUGACUGGGGUGAAGUCGUAACAAGGUAGCCGUAGGGGAACCUGCGGCUGGAUCACCUCCUUUCUA
Molecule: ribosomal RNA, 1551 nt
Filed under: Neisseria meningitidis
Lineage: Bacteria; Pseudomonadati; Pseudomonadota; Betaproteobacteria; Neisseriales; Neisseriaceae
Description: bacterial SSU rRNA
Rfam family: Bacterial small subunit ribosomal RNA
Source: RNAcentral